UCCGGUUUGUCACCGGCAGUCUCAUUAGAGAGCCCAACUGAAUGCUGGCAACUAAGGACAAGGGUUGCGCUCGUUGCGGGACUUAACCCAACAUGUCACCACACGAGCUGACGACAGCCAUGCAGCACCUGUCUUCCUGCUGUAUUGCUACAGAGACCGUAUUUCUACGGCUGUCAGGAGAUGUCAAACCCAGGUAAGGUUCUUCGCGUUGCUUCGAAUUAAACCACAUGAUCCACCGCUUGUGCGGGCCCCCGUCAAUUCCUUUGAGUUUUAGUCUUGCGACCGUACUUCCCAGGCGGGGUACUUAUUGCGUUAGCUCCGGCUCGGCAGGGGUCAAUACCCGCCUAACCUAGUACCCAUCGUUUACAGCGUGGACUAC
Molecule: unclassified non-coding RNA, 379 nt
Filed under: uncultured Oligoflexales bacterium
Lineage: Bacteria; Pseudomonadati; Bdellovibrionota; Oligoflexia; Oligoflexales
Description: contains 16S-23S intergenic spacer region
Source: RNAcentral